UUCUAAUCUCUCCCUUUGCUUUAAG
Molecule: non-coding RNA, 25 nt
Filed under: Cricetulus griseus (Chinese hamster)
Lineage: Eukaryota; Metazoa; Chordata; Mammalia; Rodentia; Cricetidae
Source: RNAcentral